Daphnia pulex (common water flea) is the source of this 3879-nucleotide long non-coding RNA. RefSeq lists it as uncharacterized. The record is from RefSeq and is a predicted model, not a curated record. The transcript has 8 exons. NCBI's taxonomy places the organism in Eukaryota, Metazoa, Arthropoda, Branchiopoda, Diplostraca, Daphniidae.
GGAGAGUAAAGGAUGUCAUGAUUCCGAUGAAUUCUUCUUUUGCUAAUUCAAAGUUGCAUUUCCCAGUUUUUCGAUAAUCACUUCUGAUUGCAUCCUUUAGGUAAAUAAUUGCCUGGUUUAAUCAAUUUAAAUUAGAAAUUCUUGCAUCAAUGAUCAAAUUGAUGAGCACAUUUUACAUCGACAUAAACAUUUCUUGAUUUCGGUGUCAUCAAACUGAUGCAGUCCGAUACCACCUUGCAUCGAGAAUUUGGAAAGGAAUCAAGUUUAGCUCGUGCUGUUGGAAUUCCAUGUGGCUUUUAACUUACCGAUCACGGAAUUGAUUAGUGGGUGAUUGAUUGGCGUCACGACGUAAGUGAAGAGAGUGGACGUGUAGGCCUGGACGAAGAUGAAAGCGGCCAGGCACCAAACGCCAGCGACUAGUCGAUAAGGUAGUCGUUUCGAUGGACAGGCACCGCCUAAUUAUAAUAACAAUUUGACUUUUGUCUCCCUGUUAUUCACUCAAAAAAACUUGUAAGAUCGAAAAACCUUGUGAUACUAAAUUGCCAACAACGUAGAGAUAUGGUUUUUCGGUUUUUGUUUUCGUUCCACGAAGUUGCCCAUCGUUCGUCAACCCUCCAGUCUGUGGUUUAUUGUUAGGUUCAAAUCCUGUCCCGGAAGCAGAUUCCAAGUAGCGCUGGAUUAAAUCUAAAACUGCGAUGACGCAAACGAUUGAUAUUCCUACUCCCAGCCAAAUCUGUUGAUUAAAGAGUGGACGCUGUUGAACACGAAAAAGAAUAUUAACUAACUCGGGAUUACGAACCGGCCAUUGAAAUGGUUUGACGACGGCGUUGAUGUUGGCCGAAUCAUCAGUGACGGGAAUGAGGAAUUUGAUGUGAUCGUAAGCCCAAGAUGACGCGGAGGUGUUGGCCAUUCAGCGGAUUUGGCGUCGAGUAGGAGUCGCGAAUAGAAAUGGUGAACCAAAUGAACAAUAAAAAGAAAGGAUGGGACGGUUGGAUUCGUCAGGAGUUUAUAGGCCAUCAUCAUCACGGAGCAAAGCGGUUGACCACAAAUGGUAGUACUUCAGUUUAGGCAUAGGUAUCAGAUUGUUUAUUUAGGAACGCUGUCGUGGGCUCCACGAAAAUGUCAGUUGCUGUUUGGGUCGUUGACAGGUAAUUCUUAAAUCGCGUGAAUAUGGCCUCGUGUUUAGGUAUCCUGCAAGAGCUUUGCAUUUCCAUGAAUUAUUUCCAGAUGAUGGAUGCCAAGUGAACAGGACUAUUGGUAGAUUUCGCUUCAAAGCCAAUAGCUAACAUUGUACUAGUAGUUCUGUGUAAUAGAUCAGCAAGCGUAGGAAAGUUGGUAAGAGAAUAGACAGGUGCAAUUUUUCAGGUCUACUCUCACGAAUCGUGUAAUUGAGUCAAUCGAAUUACUUUACCUAGAGCUCUUCAGUAUUGCCCAACUUGUUUUUUUUAUUCCCAAUCAGAAGAUUUAACAGAAAUUACACAAUUACACCUUCAUGUGCGAUGUAAUGAAAAGUUCCAACUAGGUAGUCAACGUUCGACCGAUGCUAGGAGCGACAGCCACUAGCCAAAUAAAUCAAAAAUUCAGAAUAACGCGAGUUAAUUUUUAUGGAGAAUUGUUUGUCGUGCCAUUGAUCUGUUUUCGCAAAUUUUCAACUGUAGUUGUAACAUUGGCCAACUGCUUUUUGAUGAUUCCAAUCUCGGUGUGCGCCCGAGCCAAAUCGACUUUCGCGUCUGUAAAGAGUUGAGAUCGCGAUUUAUCUGCUGCAUUUCGGGUUAAAUUUGUUGUUUAUUUGCUUCUUACCCAACAUCGCCCCCACGAAUGCUGUCCAGAGAGAUCCUAACGUGUUUAAUGUAAUCUGAACGUCUUGGACAGAAAACUGCCUCUGAUUGCUCAUGAUUUGAAUGAUUUCCGAGAUCGUCUGGGGUUGGGCCUCCUCCUUUACGGAGGAAGGAUUACCUUUGUUCAAACCGGUCGGUAGCUGAGCAGAGGCCAACAAAACGUAGGCCAUCAAAGGCACAAAGACUACAAUAAUCUAAAUGUUUGGUUCAGUAAGAAAUACAGGUGGAACAGCACUGACGCGUACGAACAGUUAACUUGUAACAAUCUAAAUUGACUUACCGAGUGCUCCAUGGUUUGUUGAUUGACGAGGAUUGAUGAACAACUGAGGAGAUGGUCUUCUUUAUAUAGUGCGGGUUAUGCCAUGGUUUAUUCGAUAAUUAAAAUCAGCUGGAAGACAGGUUACGCAAAUGUGUCACGACACAUGCAAUAUUCCAUUUACGUGCUAUCUGAACGAACUGAUGAAAUUGUCCAUUUAAAAACUCGCAAAUUGAUCCACACGCAAUUUGCUUUAAAUGGAAGGAAAUUUUUAUCAAUUCAGAAUUAAAUUUAAGUUUUAAUUUAAUUGAUGUCUUUUAAUUGAUUUUCCUUUUAGGUACGAUUGAAGUUAAGCCGUGGCAAUGUUUUCGAUGUGCGAUUUGGUCACCGUUUUUGCGUCAUCUUUUUAAAUCGACGCAAGUGCUGCAGGCGCUGGGUUUCGUAAAUUCAAAUUCAAUUAUCCAAUCGUCUCUUGAAAUCCAAUCGUUGCAAUUGAAAUGGACUAAGCUACCGGGUCUCGUGCUCCGUCAGGCACAUUUUUUUCUUCUGUGGUGUAUUCUGGAUAGAAAAUCAAGUUGCAGGAAUAUGAAAUUGAACGCAAUUAAAUCGUUGAAUUUUGUUUUCUUUACGAGUUUGAAAUUCGCGCUGUAGUUGUGACAGGAUGUCAGACUGCCAGACUUCCCUCAGUUUCAAAGUGAAUUUGAGUUUGUUUUGAAAUCAGUGCCAAAGUGGGACCACCGUCAGCGGCUGCAGCCGCGCUAGUGAUCACGCAAUGACGCGAGUGGUUUUAUUUUUCAAGUGAUCCAAUCUAACUUUUUGUUAUUUCCUUUAUAGCUUUGCCGCUCUUCGUUCUUUCCCGUAAGGUUACUGCAACUACAAGCGUCAGCGGCCAAAUUACCAUCGCCUGAAAUCUUGGACAAAGGGAGGGAGAGCUUCAUUCGAAGUGUCAAGUCCAGCACCGUUCUAAUAGCCAGAAAGUUACGACUAAGUGCAACAUUCUUCAAAGUACAGCAGUUGCUUUGUGCAAAGCGUGAAUCUUGUCUUGUCUUUUGAGAACACAGCACAUGGUCACAUUUAGCUAUCAAUCAAAGGCACUUGCUACCGGAAUUCUCCACAAACGGAAUUGUCAGCCCGGUUAAAUGGAAGCUGUUUGGCUGUUUGCUGUUUUAUGCAGAUCAUUUUUACUUGCCACCUUGCUAACUGCAUAAAUUGGGAAAGCUGCCUUAUUUGCACAUUUACAGCAGCUUGUUAGUUGUUUUUGCUUUAUGUCUGAUUUGUUCAUAGUUUUUCCCACUGUUUGUUUGUUUGAGGUAUGACUAAAAUCGCCUGUGGUGUCGCAGUCCGAUGUGCUGAUGUUGAUGCCUGCCUAUUCCCUGGUUUAAGAAGUACUUAGACAAAAUCGAUUUUACGAUGGUGGUUAUCUUUCCGUUUUUGUUUCGUGUUCUCAUUAAGUGUGUUCUCUAUGUGUCGCUAUGCAAGUGAUUUGAGCAAGAUGUUUGUUUUGUUUGUUACAUUCGCGUCUUCUCGGUAGAAUUUAUUAUGGGUUAGUUCAAAUGAGAAUGGAAAAUUAUUGCGACAUGUUAAUAUGAGACAAGUUCGUAUGAAGCACUUAUCUAUAUGAUAAUGGGUGUAAUAAACUAAGUUACGCUUAAAAAAUUACUUGAUCUUGCGCGUAAUAACCUAGAAUAUGUGGUAGGUGGGAAACUGGGAAUGUGAGAUAAAAUUACAUGUUAAUGGUAAGAAACCAUUUGAGCAUUUUGAUGUAUGUAAUAAAAUUUGCCGCAA